This 301-nucleotide ribosomal RNA is filed under the name uncultured bacterium. RNAcentral describes it as "partial 16S ribosomal RNA". It matches the Rfam family "Bacterial small subunit ribosomal RNA", at positions 509 to 807 of the family's 1533-position model. The record is from RNAcentral.
CAGUCGCCGCGGGAAUACGGAGGGUGCAAGCGUUAAUCGGAAUUACUGGGCGUAAAGCGUGCGUAGGCGGUUCGUUAAGUCUGUUGCGAAAGCCCCGGGCUCAACCUGGGAAUGGCAAUGGAUACUGGCGAGCUAGAGUGUGUCAGAGGAUGGUGGAAUUCCCGGUGUAGCGGUGAAAUGCGUAGAGAUCGGGAGGAACACCAGUGGCGAAGGCGGCUCACUGGCUCGGUAUUGACGCUGAGGUGCGAAAGCGUGGGGAGCAAACAGGAUUAGAUACCCCUGUAGUCCCUGUCUCUUAUAC